UACGGAGGAUGCAAGCGUUAUCCGGCAUGAUUCGGCGUAAAGCGUCCCCCGGGGGUUGUGUGUGUCUAUUGUCAAAGCAUCAUGCUUAACAUGAUAAAGGUAGUAGAAACUACACGACUAGAGUGCGUUCGGGGCAGAGGGAAUUCCUGGGGUAGCGGUGACAUGCGUAGAGAUCAGGAAGAACACCGGUGGCGAAAGCGCUCUGCUAGGCCGCAACUGACACUGAGGGACGAAAGCUAGGGGUGCCAAUGGG
Molecule: ribosomal RNA, 253 nt
Filed under: uncultured bacterium
Lineage: Bacteria
Description: partial 16S ribosomal RNA
Rfam family: Bacterial small subunit ribosomal RNA
Source: RNAcentral